UGGGCAAUAAACGGGUGAACGGCUCGCACGACAUUUCUCGAGACGUAUUCUUUUUGGAAGAUUCCUCAUUUCGACGUCGAGUUAGUUCCUUUGAAAAAAAAAAAAAGAGAAAAAUUCGAUUCGAUUUUUAACACGAUUAUUAUUCGAGCGAGAUUAAUCGAUGUGCUGUCCGAGAAGAUUUUUAAAUCGAACAUCCAAUUCAUCUUCGCGCGAUAUUUUUAAUACUGUAAUAUUUAGAGAUGGAUUCAUCGCAUCGCAAAUAAUUUCCACGUCCUACUGACUCACUCUUGUUCACCGUUUGCUACGAGGUAUUCAGAAACUAUUCGAGUCUUCCAGUUCUGGUGACCUACCGUCAGUGCGUCAUCCAUCGCAAGAGCUGCAUAUCUUAUUUCCAUAAUUUUACCAACAGAAAAAGAAGAAAAGAAAAUAGAAGGUCGAUGAUUUGCAUGAUAAUAAAAAGGUAAACGCUUACUUGACUGGUGUUGACCUCGCCGUCGGUCCUGGAGUCGGUGGCCGGGGUGGCGGCGUUCAAGAAACGCUCCUCGAGACGUUCUUGCAACUGCUGCGGGGUCUCCAGCUCCUCGGAGGUGUCGCCAGUCUCGACGAGCUCGCGAGCCUCCAUCGCGGUGUCCUCGAUUUUGCCGUCCAACGGAAGGACAACAUCGCCGGCUCGUGUCAGCUCCGGAGGUAGCCGUGCCCGGUCGUCGAUGCUGUCGUCGCUGUCAGCGACGGGCACCACAUCCGUGUCGGUGAUUCGCACGACAGGCGCCGUCGCCGGCUUCGGCGACGACGACGGCGGUGCGAUCGGUUCGUACUCGUGCUCGCUGUUACGAAAAGUUACUCGUUUUCUUCUUGCUCUAAUUGGCAUUCUUGCCCCUCUCUUUUCUUUUUUUUUUUUUGGUUAGUCUUUGAGUAAAAAUCGGUGGCUCGGAUAUCGUUACGGUUUUCUUACGGUAUACGAUUUAUUAUUAUACAGUUUGGAUUUUGUUAGUUUUUAAAUGGUCCUUUUCCGGUUAAUUUCUUCUUCAAAAACAUUUCUUGUUUGUUUAAUACGAGUUGAGUUUCAUUAAUUUGUGCGGUUGUGUUGUUUUUAUAUUGAUCAACUCGUGGCAGUUUAUAGCUCGAUGUUAUAUUGGUUUUUGGAGUGUGCGAUAGGUUAAAUACGAAUUCGUUAAUAUUUACGAAUUAUUUCCCAAUUUUAAUCGAUGUUCUGUUGAAUGUUAAUUACUUGAGCGUUAAUACAAAAAGACACUUACCAACUAGAUUAUGUGUUCAAGUUAAAUAAAUUGUUACAGUUUUGUCUUGAGCGUUGAUAUAUUUGUACCAUUAGCACGAAUACUGUUAGUUUCAAAAUCAGUCUUGUUAUUGAGCAAAUGCCAGGGAACGGAGGCUGGUCAAUCCGUGUUCGUUUCACUGGAAGCGGACGUCACAGUGGAAAUAGUAGGCACUGAUCGGGCAGAUAUUAUGUUUCCAGCGUUGAAGCAGAAUGUUCAUAGAUCACAAGGUUAAUUUGCAGACGGUUUGUUCGGGAGGGGUCAAUGUCGAAGGAAGAUAUUUGCUUAUUCCUCUUUUGUUCUACGCUGCUUCUCCAAAAACCGCAGGAAUACUGUUACAAUGAUAAACUCGAUUAAUUUUAUUAGUGAAUUUUUAAUAAAAUUAUUAUUUAUUAUGUAAUGUUUCUUUCUUCAAAUUUUCAAAUAUUCAAUUUCGAUAUUCUUUUAAUUACAUUUCGUAAUAAUUUAUAAAUAAUAUUUAUAAAAUCGAAUAUUGAAUUUAUGAAAUUCUUUUUCAUUUAAAUUGAAUAUUUGCAUAAAAAAUAUAUUUAAAUUUAAUAAUUUAAUAAUUCCCUGUUUUAAUAAAGCUAACGUAAUGAUCGACUAUGUAAAACUCGGAUAUUAUAUAGGUUAUCUAUAAGAAUCCUCGACAUAAAAUCUCAAGCUAUUUUGAAGGAUCGAGAAUUUCGAUUUUCCGCGGACUUGAUCAUCGAUAAUGAUACUUCCAUUAUCGCCAUACAAUAACUCGAUGUCCACUUAAUUGCAUCAAAUUAAAAUUCAAAUUUUGAGGUUAGAAUAGCUGUUGCUCGCUCGCAGCAAUCAUUUUCCUUUCUCCUGCUCCUCUCUCCCUAUUCUUUUUCUGAAAUUAUUCUAUGCAUACAGAUAUAAAUAAUUAUUCAUAAAAAUUUUUUAUACAUAUAAUUAAGUUAAAAAAAUAAUCAAGUUUAAUUUUCGACUGACAAGUAUCAAUUUUAUUUUGUAAUCGUAACAUUAAUUUAUGCUUGUUGCCAAUGUGCUAAUUAUCAACUGAUUUAGAGGUAAAAAUUUGUAUUUCAAUCAUGUCCAUACAAAUAUUGAAUUUAUACAUGAUAAACAUGUGCAAUUAUACGCAUUCAUAAUUGCGAUGAUAUACAUAUAUAAAUCACAUUUCAUGAUCUCGUAGACGUACAUUUAUGAUUAUCUCCGUACAGAGGAAAACUCACAGGCAUAUAUCAAGAAAGAUAGAUAGAGGGAUGCGAGAGGAGUUUGGACGCGGAACCGAGCUGACCGAGGAUUCUAUGUAUAGCCAGCCGGGCGAACCUUAAAUAGCUGUGGCGGUACGCGAGCAUAGUCGAGACGCGUAACCUAUACAACACCGUCUACUCUCCUUGUGCGUGUACGGAUGCCUAUCAGAAGGGAUAUUCAUUCGAAACUGGAAAAGGAAUGAACUGGCCUGGAUACCGAAUCUUUGGCAUUUGGUCCAAAGCAGGGUUUCUAAACGGGUUGCUUGGUUAUUUCGUGCACAUAUAAACGUAAGAUUAGAUGUAAUUCAACUACACAUACGUAUUACACAUACGUAUAUAGAGAAACAAAAUGGAUAUAGAAUCCAUAUAUAGAACUAUUGAUAAUUCUACGGACAAGUUUCAACGAGUGUUUCGAAUAGUCACAGUUACAAGUCUAUCGUCUAUAAUAAAAUCGUGUGUUAUCUUGUUGACUUGUUACUGACCUGCAGCGGACCGCAGGUGGCUGCUGCAUCGUCCUGGACGGCGGUCUACCGAGGAGAGCACGUCGUUCCGGCAGAAGCGAGUCGCUCUGGUAGUACUGACAGCCACAACGGACCUCGCGGCCGAGGCUCGACGUCGACGACGCUCGCGAGGUGCGUCCACGUUGCUCCGGCUCCAUCCCCACCCCCUUCGAUUCCACUUGUCCACCUCCAGUCUCCUCUUCCUCUCUGUCUACCUGAUGAUGUGGUGGCGCGUCUGGUCUAUUCACGAUCGCGCCCUUUCCUCCUCCGGUUUGAACACACCGUUUUCGUUCUUUUACUGCGUACCUUUCUUCGUUUUUUCUUUCGCGAGUUCUCGUUGCUUUCUUUUUUUUUUUGUUCUUAAUGCUAAGUUACACGAACGUCGAUAUGCUGGCGUUGCGCGACAUAAUUGUCACCACUCCGUGUGUUGCACGAAGAAAGGAAUAGAAAGAGGAAGAAACCGUGAACAGGAGAGAGAGAGAAAGAGAGAGAGAGAGAGAAAGAGGAAAGAUGGUUUUCUUACAGCAGCCCACUAGUGCAGCGACUUCUAGGCGACUCUGUACCCUCUCUGGCUCAUCUACGCAAUAUCGUCGCGGACAUCAGGAUUUAUUUAUAGAAACAUUUCGUGUCGGAUGUCUAUUAAUUCGACUGGGCAAAAUUCACCUGCACGCGCGUAUCAUUGUACCACCUGGCGGUCGUUACACGGAGCGCCACGCAGGCGCAGUGGAGGGAGCUUUCGGCGCGCGGGAAUUUGAUUUUUUUCGCAAGGUGCAUUGAGUUUUCCAAAGGGAAGUAUCACGAAUAUUAAUAGCGUUUUAUUUUUAAUCUUUAAAUACGUCUUAAUGAUAUCGUAUCAUAUUUAUUUACAAAUGUUGUUAAUAUUUAAGAUUAUUUUUUUUUUAUAAGAAUUUUAAUUUAUAUUAUAAUUUUGUCAUCUUUAUUUUAAUUUCGUUUAAAUCUUAAAUGAUUCGUGUUAGUAUAGAAAACAGAAGGGAAAAAUAUUGAUAUAACGCCAUGCAAAUUUAUUAUUAAUAUUUAAAAUUAUUUCUUAAAUUUUAUUUUAAUUCUUAUUUAUCUUGUCUCGUUUUAAAUUUAACUUUUCAACUGAGUUGGUAAUAAGAAUUUCUAGCAAAGCGUUAAAGAUAUUUAUACAUCAAAUUGUAAAUAUAUAUACCGCUUAUGGAUGAGAAUCAAUCUUUGAACUUAGAAUUGUAUUAGUGUUAGAAUUUUUUUAAACGUUAUUAUUUUUUAAAAAUUUUUCUGUAAGAAUUUCAAAAAGAUAACAAUUCCAUAGUUUUUUCUUUUUUUACUUAUUUUUAUCAUUAGAUAUAAAAAAUUUUUUACAGUUACUUUUAUAUUGCAAGGGAUUAAAAUGUUUAGCUGUUCGUCUUGUAAAUGGGUUUAUAACGUUGCACUUCUAGAUUCUUAGUCUUAAUUUUUUUCCACGACAAUAAUAUGAAACAGAAUAAUAAAAGAAUUGCUAUCUUCUUAACCCUCUAUUAUAAUUCAGAAACCAUGCGUUUCUUUUGCUGCAUCGUCGUAUUAAAAUGAAUCAAAAAAUUAUAAUUUAUAAUUUAUAAUUAGAAACUUUAUCUUAAUUGCUCUCUACGUGAUCCAGCAGGAUAAAUAAAUGAUUAUUGGCAAUAAUUCAAAAAUAUACGCCAAAUAUCAUUUAAAGGUUGUAAAUAAUAAUAAUAAUAAUAAUAAAGUAAAAUAUAUAAUAACGUUUAUUAUUUACAUAUAAUAUAUAUAUAGAUAUAAUGUAUGUUAUAACAAAUAAUAUAUGUGUAUAAAGAAAUAAUAUUUAUCGAAUAUUUAAUUAGACAAAGAAUCGAUCAUUUUCAUUUGCUUAGUUCAAAAAGUAUCGACAAGAAUAUCGAAUUAUGAUGUUUACGAUUAUAAAAACAGUACUUGUCAAGUUAAGUUCGUUAAAGUUCUUUAUGAAUUUAUAUUUUUCCUCCUGAAUCUUUCAAUUAAAAAUUUGGCCGAUUCAAGUAGAGAUCAAUUAAAAUAUUAACUGCGUUGCACAUAAUCCACGAUUUUUUUUCUGUAAUCGAAAAAAAAAAACUCUGAGUCAAUAGAGGGUUAUCGAAUGGUUGAUCGAAAAUGGUUAAUUUCACAACGAAAUAAAGCUUAAAUCUUUUAAAGAAUAUGGUUAUUAAUACCUUCUCUUCCAUUUCUUCUUUGUUUGCCAAUAUGAACCUCGCUCUGCGUCAAUCUUUCUACUCAGGUUUCUCUUGAACUGCUAAUUCUGUCGGAGGGUUCUGUUGCUUUUUUUCUCUUUUCUUUGGUUUUUUUUUUUUUUUUUUUUUUUUUUUAAUAAAA
Molecule: long non-coding RNA, 5322 nt
Organism: Apis cerana (Asiatic honeybee)
Lineage: Eukaryota; Metazoa; Arthropoda; Insecta; Hymenoptera; Apidae
Source: RefSeq, a predicted model, not a curated record